GGGUUUGAUUCUGGCUCAGAUUGAACGCUGGCGGCAUGCCUUACACAUGCAAGUCGAACGGCAGCACGGGAGCAAUCCUGGUGGCGAGUGGCGAACGGGUGAGUAAUAUAUCGGAACGUGCCCAGUCGUGGGGGAUAACGUAGCGAAACGUACGCUAAUACCGCAUACGAUCUAUGGAUGAAAGCGGGGGAUCGCAAGACCUCGCGCGAUUGGAGCGGCCGAUAUCAGAUUAGCUAGUUGGUGGGGUAAAAGCUCACAAAGG
This 262-nucleotide ribosomal RNA is filed under the name uncultured beta proteobacterium. RNAcentral describes it as "partial 16S ribosomal RNA". It matches the Rfam family "Bacterial small subunit ribosomal RNA", at positions 9 to 273 of the family's 1533-position model. The record is from RNAcentral. Lineage: Bacteria; Pseudomonadati; Pseudomonadota; Betaproteobacteria.